GAGAGCUGAUGCACUUUUCAGUUGUUUAUUGGACAAAGAAUAAUAGAAAAAAGUCGUUCUGUAAAUAAAUGGUCUGUUUUAUGUAUAUGUCAUAAUAAUAGAAGAAAAUAGUUCGUGUUUUAAUAAUGUUGUAUUGUUUCAAGAUCAUGCUCAGAAGUUGUCAUGAUCUGUGUUUUUGUUAAAUAGAUUCAGCGUGUCUCAUGCUUUGUCACGUUUUUCUUUGUCACAUGUUCAUGUCUGUCCGCUCGUUUGUUUUUUUGUCUUCACCUGUUCUCGUCAGCCCUCAACUAAUCAGCUCCCUCCAGCCACUCGUGUCUUGUCCAGGUGUGCCUUGUUGUCUCGUCAGUUUGCUUGUAUUUAGUUUCCUGGUUUCUUUCAGUCUUGGGCAGGUCAUUGUUGGUGCAAGUCAAGAGUCUAGUUUUGUCAUGUUCCCUGUUUUUUUUUUUUUUGUUACUUUGUAUCAGAAUUUUUGGGACUUUUAGUUAUUUAGAUUUUUUUUUCUAUAUGUCUUUGUUGCAUGUUUUGGUUUUUGAAAAUAAUCCUUUUUUUUUGGAGGUUCGCCAUGCCUUGCCUCCCCUCUUCCCUGUGCUGGGGUCCUCCUCCUUUUGCCAACAUGGCCACAAAUCCUGACAGACGUUGGAAGCCAUGGUUUGAUUUGAAGCGGCCAUUUUGGCUGAUUUCUAAGGCUCGUACUUUCGGGAACUCUCCCAGAUGAGCUCCAACCGAAGAAGGAAAGAGGUUGUCCAGUGAGACCAGCCAUCAUAAAUACGAGAAGAGACCAUCCAGCAUCACACAGCGCUUUAAUGCGGACUCUUUCAAUUCCAGUGUACUGAAGUGUUUGUUUUCAUUCCCAGUCGUUCAACCUCACGGGUGUGCAAAUUCAGGGCUCCGGGGCCCUGCGAGUAGUACCGCGGGUGCCGUGUAGUGACGGGUAUCUAUAGACGCCAUCGACUUUGAAUUAAGGCCGGGACGCGUGGCCAUCCAUCAUAGGGAGUGCGCUCGGGACAAAAGCUGGCUGCGUGAUGCAUGGACUUCCUUCACUUUCACUCUCCUGGCUCAAUUUCCCCUUUCCUCCUCUUCUCCUCGUGUCCUAACCGACCCCCCCCAAACCCAUUUAACACUCGGCGUGGAGCGAUAAGCUUCCCUUCCUGUGCUCCAGCAGCUCCACAGUGUUCAGUUCUUUCGAGCAUCCUGUUUGCCACAACAUUAAGUACACCUGCACCAUCUAACCAGAACUAAAUGUGCUGUAAAUCAAUGCACAUAGUAGAUUUACAAAUAUACUAACACUUUAUU
Long non-coding RNA from Phyllopteryx taeniolatus (common seadragon), 1293 nucleotides. RefSeq lists it as uncharacterized. The record is from RefSeq and is a predicted model, not a curated record. Lineage: Eukaryota; Metazoa; Chordata; Actinopteri; Syngnathiformes; Syngnathidae. The transcript has 2 exons.